This 550-nucleotide ribosomal RNA is filed under the name Flavobacterium sp. B7. RNAcentral's name for it is "bacterial SSU rRNA". It matches the Rfam family "Bacterial small subunit ribosomal RNA", at positions 155 to 703 of the family's 1533-position model. Lineage: Bacteria; Pseudomonadati; Bacteroidota; Flavobacteriia; Flavobacteriales; Flavobacteriaceae. The record is from RNAcentral.
AAUUUGGAUUAAUACCUCAUAGUAUAUCAGCUCGGCAUUAAUAAUUAAUUAAAGUCACAACGGUAAAAGAUGAGCAUGCGUCCCAUUAGCUAGUUGGUAAGGUAACGGCUUACCAAGGCUACGAUGGGUAGGGGUCCUGAGAGGGAGAUCCCCCACACUGGUACUGAGACACGGACCAGACUCCUACGGGAGGCAGCAGUGAGGAAUAUUGGACAAUGGGCGCAAGCCUGAUCCAGCCAUGCCGCGUGCAGGAUGACGGUCCUAUGGAUUGUAAACUGCUUUUAUACGAGAAGAAACACUCCUUCGUGAAGGAGCUUGACGGUAUCGUAAGAAUAAGGAUCGGCUAACUCCGUGCCAGCAGCCGCGGUAAUACGGAGGAUCCAAGCGUUAUCCGGAAUCAUUGGGUUUAAAGGGUCCGUAGGCGGUUUAAUAAGUCAGUGGUGAAAGCCCAUCGCUCAACGGUGGAACGGCCAUUGAUACUGUUAGACUUGAAUUAUUAGGAAGUAACUAGAAUAUGUAGUGUAGCGGUGAAAUGCUUAGAGAUUACAUG